Molecule: ribosomal RNA, 253 nt
Filed under: uncultured bacterium
Lineage: Bacteria
Description: partial 16S ribosomal RNA
Rfam family: Bacterial small subunit ribosomal RNA
Source: RNAcentral
UACGAAGGGGGCUAGCGUUGCUCGGAAUCACUGGGCGUAAAGGGUGCGUAGGCGGGUCUUUAAGUCCGGGGUGAAAUCCUGGAGCUCAACUCCAGAACUGCCUUUGAUACUGAAGAUCUUGAGUUCGGGAGAGGUGAGUGGAACUGCGAGUGUGGAGGUGAAAUUCGUAGAUAUUCGCAAGAACACCAGUGGCGAAGGCGGCUCACUGGCCCGAUACUGACGCUGAGGCACGAAAGCGUGGGGAGCAAACAGG